This 246-nucleotide long non-coding RNA is filed under the name Phoenix dactylifera (date palm). RNAcentral describes it as "long non-coding RNA (PDAC_LNC013680)". The record is from RNAcentral. Lineage: Eukaryota; Viridiplantae; Streptophyta; Magnoliopsida; Arecales; Arecaceae.
AACCUUAUUCCCAAAACUUUCAACCAUUCCAGAAUGUUCAUCCGAACCGUCCUCCUACUCACUAUUCACAAUUUCAACAUGUCCCUCCUCCAGCACCCCAAAGAGAUAUGGCUUUUGAGCAAAAAGUUUUGACUGCUCUUCAAGGACUCGAAGCCAAUACACAAUUGUUGCACUCCCACACCCAGUCUAUUGCCAAAUUAGAAACCCAGCUAGGGCAGCUAGCGAGUGCACUAAAUAAAAGAGAGG